RNAcentral lists this small nuclear RNA (171 nucleotides) under Xenopus laevis (African clawed frog). Its description in RNAcentral is "U2 spliceosomal RNA". It matches the Rfam family "U2 spliceosomal RNA". From Rfam's summary of the family: U2 is a small nuclear RNA (snRNA) component of the spliceosome (involved in pre-mRNA splicing). Complementary binding between U2 snRNA (in an area lying towards the 5' end but 3' to hairpin I) and the branchpoint sequence (BPS) of the intron results the bulging out of an unpaired adenosine, on the BPS, which initiates a nucleophilic attack at the intronic 5' splice site, thus starting the first of two transesterification reactions that mediate splicing. The record is from Rfam by way of RNAcentral. Lineage: Eukaryota; Metazoa; Chordata; Amphibia; Anura; Pipidae.
AUCACUUCUCUGCCUUUUGGCUAAGGUCAAGUGUAGUAUCUGUUCUUAUCAGUGGGUGGAGGGUCCUAGCUAAGGGGUGUCCAUAGAGUUGCCCUUCACUGGGGAGGCAGCGAGGCACUUAAUCCUCUGGCCAAAGGGCUGGCUAUAUAUUUUUAGCUCGAGCAAUGCCUU